RNAcentral lists this ribosomal RNA (114 nucleotides) under Pogona vitticeps (central bearded dragon). The record is from RNAcentral. Lineage: Eukaryota; Metazoa; Chordata; Lepidosauria; Squamata; Agamidae.
GAUGGUGAUGAUGAUUUGCACAUGCCCAAUCUCAUUUGAUUCAAACCUAACCAGGGUCAGGCCUGGUUAAUAUUUGGAUGGGAAACCACCAGGGAAUACCAGCAAUUUCCAGGU